UACGGGGGGGGUAAGCGUUGUUCGGAAUUACUGGGCGUAAAGGGCUCGUAGGCGGCCAACUAAGUCAUACGUGAAAUCCCUCAGCUUAACUGGGGAACUGCGUGUGAUACUGGAUGGCUUGGAUUUGGGAGAGGGAUGCGGAAUUCCAGGUGUAGCGGUGAAAUGCGUAGAUAUCUGGAGGAACACCGGUGGCGAAGGCGGCAUCCUGGACCAAUAUUGACGCUGAGGAGUGAAAGCUAGGGGAGCAAACGGG
This 253-nucleotide ribosomal RNA is filed under the name uncultured bacterium. Its description in RNAcentral is "partial 16S ribosomal RNA". It matches the Rfam family "Bacterial small subunit ribosomal RNA", at positions 524 to 776 of the family's 1533-position model. The record is from RNAcentral.